Long non-coding RNA from Canis lupus familiaris (dog), 1043 nucleotides. RefSeq lists it as uncharacterized. The record is from RefSeq and is a predicted model, not a curated record. NCBI's taxonomy places the organism in Eukaryota, Metazoa, Chordata, Mammalia, Carnivora, Canidae. The transcript has 2 exons.
ACCCCGGGUCAACUCAGGCAGAAGCUGAUAGGCGGUUCUGUGGUUUUAUUUAGCUUCAUGAAAGAUGCCCGGAUCAGUCCCAGGUUCUAGACCAACUCUGAUAACGUCUUUUCAGGAAAACUUGCACAAAUCACAAUUAAACGGGAUCCAUGGUUACAAGGUUGUUCUCGCCCACCGCACUCCUCUCCCCGUAUCUAGUCUCCUACGGAAAAGGCCUCCAUCCAUUCGUAAAGGCCUUACUCACCUUGCCCUCAGCCUAUGUGCACGAAAUUCAAUGUGAGCUGGUUAUCCAGGAGAGACGAAUCCAGGCUACCAUGAUGGUCCAGGAGGGAACGCCAACACCCUCCUUACCCAGCCUCUCUCCUCAAGAGAUCAUGAGCUGAAGGGCAUAUCAUCGGACAAACCUCCAGCUGCUUCUGCCCUUAAAUAAGGGGACAGAGGAAGUUGUUUCUAUAUUUAAGAAGAGAGAACUAUUUUCAUUCCAGAGCUAUAAGAGUUAUGAGCAGAUGAAGCUAUGACUCUGGCGGCUGGACCAUUUUGGGAAACAAGAUGCAAGCAAGGGAGUAAUAUACAAAGUGUGGGUAUAUUUGACAGGUUUGAGGCAAGCAGAAAGGAGGGCUUGGGUAUUCUAUAAAAAACCUAAUAUCUGAAAUUCAAACUUCUUCUGAUAAGGCCACAAUGAAGAGAUUUCCAGCAGGAAGCUGGCACCCAAAUUGCCACAGGCUUGCAAGGUGACGUGCCCAGGUGAGGAGGCAGGGGAGGCAGGACAGUGCCUCUCACAGGUCCAUGUCUGGGCCUCCUGAGGAUGUCUUCAGUGGCACGGAGUCAAAUCCAUCAGGAGUCCUCUGAAAGAGAGAUGGUGACAGGAGCUGGCUGCUGCACGGGGGCAAGUUUGGGAAACAAAGGAGAGAAAUGGAAAAUAGGUGACAGAAGGAACCCUUACGGAAUUCCUGCUUCCAGUAGCUUUGUGGAAACAGACAUAAGAUACCCUCUAUUCUUCUUGGUCCUUUCAGUCAGUCAGAAGAUAAGAAAAAUCUUUAAGA